AACCAUGCCCGUGCCAGUGUCCGCGUGAAGGCGGAGGUGUGUUGCGUGUGCCGGCACUACGGGGGGGUGAGGGCGCGUAGGAGGGGCAUGUAUGUGCUGGGGAAAGCCCGGGGUUCAACUCCGGGGUUUCCGGUCAGACUGGUGGGCGUGAGCACGGUAGAGGGGGAUGGAAGUCCCGGUGUAGCGGUGGAAGGCGUAGAGAGCGGGAAGAAUACCGGUGGCGAAGGCGUUCCGCUGGGCCGUUGCUGACGCUGAGGCGCGACAGCGUGGGGAGCAAACAGGAUUAGAUACCCGUGUAGUC
RNAcentral lists this ribosomal RNA (301 nucleotides) under uncultured Nostocoides sp. RNAcentral describes it as "bacterial SSU rRNA". It matches the Rfam family "Bacterial small subunit ribosomal RNA", at positions 495 to 795 of the family's 1533-position model. Lineage: Bacteria; Bacillati; Actinomycetota; Actinomycetes; Micrococcales; Intrasporangiaceae. The record is from RNAcentral.